This 742-nucleotide ribosomal RNA is filed under the name uncultured Planctomycetota bacterium. RNAcentral describes it as "bacterial SSU rRNA". It matches the Rfam family "Bacterial small subunit ribosomal RNA", at positions 509 to 1243 of the family's 1533-position model. The record is from RNAcentral. Lineage: Bacteria; Pseudomonadati; Planctomycetota.
CAGCCGCCGCGGUAAUACGAAGGUGGCAAGCGUUGUUCGGAAUCACUGGGCUUAAAGCGCGCGUAGGCGGAAAUUCAAGUGUCCUGUGAAAUCCCCCGGCUCAACCGGGGAACUGCGGGGCAAACUGGAUUUCUUGAGGCAAGUAGGGGUACAUGGAACUCUUAGUGGAGCGGUGGAAUGCGUAGAUAUUAAGAGGAACGCCAAUGGUGAAGACAGUGUACUGGGCUUGUCCUGACGCUGAGGUGCGAAAGCGUGGGGAGCGAACGGGAUUAGAUACCCCGGUAGUCCACGCCGUAAACGAUGUCUACUAGGUUGUGGAGGUUCUGACACCCUCACAGUCGAAGCAAAAGUGUUAAGUAGACCGCCUGGGGAGUACGGUCGCAAGGCUAAAACUCAAAGGAAUUGACGGGGGCUCACACAAGCGGUGGAGCAUGUGGAUUAAUUCGAAGCAACGCGCAGAACCUUACCUGGGUUUGACAUGUUUGGAUGCUACUUUGGAAACAAAGGAUGCUGCCUUCGGGGUGAAACUUACACAGGUGCUGCAUGGCUGUCGUCAGCUCGUGUCGUGAGAUGUCGGGUUAAGUCCUUUAACGAGCGAAACCCUUGCCGUUAGUUGCCAGCGAGUAAUGUCGGGAACUCUAGCGGGACUGCCGGUGUUAAACCGGAGGAAGGUGGGGAUGACGUCAAGUCCUCAUGGCCUUUAUGCCCAGGGCCUCACACGUGCUACAAUGGUCACUACAGA